This 78-nucleotide transfer RNA is filed under the name Clostridia bacterium. Its description in RNAcentral is "tRNA-Pro". It matches the Rfam family "tRNA". Rfam says of the family: Transfer RNA (tRNA) molecules are approximately 80 nucleotides in length. Lineage: Bacteria; Bacillati; Bacillota; Clostridia. The record is from RNAcentral.
CGAGAUGUAGCUAAAUGGGGAAAGCAUCCAGGGGGAGUAUCUGGUAAUAUGUAGGUUCAAAUCCUACCAUCUCGACCA